CCUACGGGAGGCAGCAGUGGGGAAUAUUGCACAAUGGGGGGAACCCUGAUGCAGCGACGCCGCGUGGGUGAAGAAGCGCCUCGGCGCGUAAAGCCCUGUCAGCAGGGAAGAAAAUGACGGUACCUGAAGAAGAAGCCAAGGCUAACUACGUGCCAGCAGCCGCGGUAAUACGCAGGGGGCAAGCUUUAUCCGGAUUUACUGGGUGUAAAGGGGGCGCAGACGGUGAGACAAGUCAGGAGUGAAAGCCCGGGGCUCAACCCCGGGACUGGUGUUGGAACUGCGUGGCUGGAGAGUAGGCGCGGUAGGCGGAAUGCAUGGUGUAGCGGUGAAAUGCGUAGAUAUCAGGAGGAACACCGGUUGCGAAGGCGGCCUGCUGGGCUGCAACUGACGUUGAGGCCCGAAAGCGUGGGGAGCAAACAGGAUUAGAUACCCGAGUAGUC
RNAcentral lists this ribosomal RNA (440 nucleotides) under uncultured bacterium. Its description in RNAcentral is "partial 16S ribosomal RNA". It matches the Rfam family "Bacterial small subunit ribosomal RNA", at positions 338 to 795 of the family's 1533-position model. The record is from RNAcentral.